UGUUUGAAAAAUAAUGGUGGAAAAACAAAUUAUUCAAUUGGCACAUAUGAAUGUUUAUGCUGUCAAAUUGAAUAAUGAAAAUGUUGUUUAAAACUUUAACUUGUUUAAGGGACUUUCUUUAUGAAUGAUAGAAAUGAUUAUUAAGGUUUUUAAAUUAUUUUUCCUUAGAGUAGAGACAUGUGAUAUAUUGAUUCAUUGACUGAUGGUUUCAUAAUUGAUAUGUCCGGGUAUUUCACUUUGCUGAUGAAUUAAACCUGAAGAUUUUUAAUAGUUACAUAUGUUAAAAUUAAAAGGAUUGGACAAAAAUUGAAAAAGUGCGCAAAAGUUAGGAUUUUGGUCAAAUUCCUUUUAAUUAUCAUUUCCUUUUAGGUUUUGAAUGAACAAUUAUUUUUGAUAGUGCCAUAUAGUCAUAUGGUGUACCACAUUUGCAAACAAAAAAGGAAAAAAAAAAAA
This 453-nucleotide unclassified non-coding RNA is filed under the name Hevea brasiliensis (rubber tree). Lineage: Eukaryota; Viridiplantae; Streptophyta; Magnoliopsida; Malpighiales; Euphorbiaceae. The record is from RNAcentral.